CGGGGUGCACCAGGCGCGAAAACUUUACACUGCGGGAAACCGCGAUAAGGGGACCCCGAGUGCCAGCACCUAGUGCUGGCUGUCCAGCUGUCUAAAUAACAGUUGUUAGCAAGGGCCGGGUAAGACCGGUGCCAGCCGCCGCGGUAACACCGGCGGCCCGAGUGGUAGCCGUUAUUAUUGGGUUUAAAGGGUCCGUAGCCGGCCUAUUAAGUCUCUUGGGAAAUCUGGCGACUUAAUCGUCAGGCGUCCAAGAGAUACUGGUAGGCUUGGGACCGGGAGAGGUGGGAGGUACUCCAGGGGUAGGGGUGAAAUCUCGUAAUCCUUGGGGGACCACCGAUGGCGAAGGCAUCCCACCAGAACGGGUCCGACGGUGAGGGACGAAAGCUGGGGGCACGAACCGGAUUAGAUACCCGGGUAGUCCCAGCUGUAAACGAUGCUCGCUAGGUGUCAGGUGCGGUGCGACCGCAUCUGGUGCCGCAGUGAAAACUUGAAGCGAGUCACCUGGGAAGUACGGUCGCAAGGCUGAAACUUAAAGGAAUUGGCGGGGGAGCACAAGGGCGAAUUGC
RNAcentral lists this ribosomal RNA (566 nucleotides) under uncultured archaeon. RNAcentral's name for it is "bacterial SSU rRNA". It matches the Rfam family "Archaeal small subunit ribosomal RNA", at positions 326 to 894 of the family's 1478-position model. The record is from RNAcentral.